AUCUAGCUGACGAGUCCAAAAUAGGAGGAAAUGCGCAUCCUGGAU
RNAcentral lists this non-coding RNA (45 nucleotides) under Trichobilharzia regenti. Lineage: Eukaryota; Metazoa; Platyhelminthes; Trematoda; Strigeidida; Schistosomatidae. The record is from RNAcentral.